This 497-nucleotide ribosomal RNA is filed under the name uncultured bacterium. RNAcentral's name for it is "partial 16S ribosomal RNA". It matches the Rfam family "Bacterial small subunit ribosomal RNA", at positions 28 to 507 of the family's 1533-position model. The record is from RNAcentral.
GAUGAACGCCGGCGGCGUGCCUAAUACAUGCAAGUCGAGCGAACGGACGAGAAGCUUGCUUCUCUGAUGUUAGCGGCGGACGGGUGAGUAACACGUGGAUAACCUACCUAUAAGACUGGGAUAACUUCGGGAAACCGGAGCUAAUACCGGAUAAUAUUUUGAACCGCAUGGUUCAAAAGUGAAAGACGGUCUUGCUGUCACUUAUAGAUGGAUCCGCGCUGCAUUAGCUAGUUGGUAAGGUAGCGGCUUACCAAGGCAACGAUGCAUAGCCGACCUGAGAGGGUGAUCGGCCACACUGGAACUGAGACACGGUCCAGACUCCUACGGGAGGCAGCAGUAGGGAAUCUUCCGCAAUGGGCGAAAGCCUGACGGAGCAACGCCGCGUGAGUGAUGAAGGUCUUCGGAUCGUAAAACUCUGUUAUUAGGGAAGAACAUAUGUGUAAGUAACUGUGCACAUCUUGACGGUACCUAAUCAGAAAGCCACGGCUAACUACGUG